AGUGAACGCUGGCGGUAGGCCCAACACAUGCAAGUCGAACGGCAGCACAGUAAGAGCUUGCUCUUACGGGUGGCGAGUGGCGGGCGGGUGAGGAAUACAUCGGAAUCUACUUUUUCGUGGGGGAUAGCGUAGGGAAACUUACGCUAAUACCGCAUACGACCUACGGGUGAAAGCAGGGGAUCUUCGGACCUUGCGCGAUUGAAUGAGCCGAUGUCGGAUUAGCUAGUUGGCGGGGUAAAGGCCCACCAAGGCGACGAUCCGUAGCUGGUCUGAGAGGAUGAUCAGCCACACUGGAACUGAGACACGGUCCAGACUCCUACGGGAGGCAGCAGUGGGGAAUAUUGGACAAUGGGCGCAAGCCUGAUCCAGCCAUACCGCGUGGGUGAAGAAGGCCUUCGGGUUGUAAAGCCCUUUUGUUGGGAAAGAAAAGCAGCAGGUUAAUACCCCGCUGUUCUGACGGUACCCAAAGAAUAAGCACCGGCUAACUUCGUG
RNAcentral lists this ribosomal RNA (492 nucleotides) under uncultured bacterium. Its description in RNAcentral is "partial 16S ribosomal RNA". It matches the Rfam family "Bacterial small subunit ribosomal RNA", at positions 29 to 507 of the family's 1533-position model. The record is from RNAcentral.